GAUGAACGCUGGCGGCGUGCCUAAUACAUGCAAGUCGAGCGAACAGAUAAGGAGCUUGCUCCUUUGACGUUAGCGGCGGACGGGUGAGUAACACGUGGGUAACCUACCUAUAAGACUGGAAUAACUCCGGGAAACCGGGGCUAAUGCCGGAUAACAUUUAGAACCGCAUGGUUCUAAAGUGAAAGAUGGUUUUGCUAUCACUUAUAGAUGGACCCGCGCCGUAUUAGCUAGUUGGUAAGGUAACGGCUUACCAAGGCAACGAUACGUAGCCGACCUGAGAGGGUGAACGGCCACACUGGAACUGAGACACGGUCCAGACUCCUACGGGAGGCAGCAGUAGGGAAUCUUCCGCAAUGGGCGAAAGCCUGACGGAGCAACGCCGCGUGAGUGAUGAAGGUCUUCGGAUCGUAAAACUCUGUUAUUAGGGAAGAACAAAUGUGUAAGUAACUGUGCACGUCUUGACGGUACCUAAUCAGAAAGCCACGGCUAACUACGUG
RNAcentral lists this ribosomal RNA (497 nucleotides) under uncultured bacterium. Its description in RNAcentral is "partial 16S ribosomal RNA". It matches the Rfam family "Bacterial small subunit ribosomal RNA", at positions 28 to 507 of the family's 1533-position model. The record is from RNAcentral.